AUGGAGAUGGAGAUGGAGAGAGUUUGCAAGAGACGGCCGGGCAUGCCUCCUGCUCUCCUUCUCGCCCUUCACGGCAUGGAUGAGCAGAUGCCUGCGUCAUCGACUGCAGCGGCCGUGCCUCCGCCGCAGACCCCCGUUGAGCCCAUGGAAUACCUGUCCAGGUCCUGGAGCGUCUCCGCCGAGGAGAUAUCCAAGGCCCUGCGGCUCAAAGGGGCCACCAAGCGGAGCUUCCUCGCCCCCGUCGACACUCUUCUUCCACCACGCACGGCCACCAUACCGGAUACGGAGACGUCCUCCUACGAGCUCGUCGCCUCCCCUGCCGCUUCCGUUCACCAGCUCCAGCGCCAACAACAUCUAGAUGCAACAGGGAGGAGCUCCAUCAGCUGCCACCGCCACUCCAACUCAGUGACCAGAUGGUACUUCCAGCACAAGGAGACCGCCAAGCACGGCAGAAAGGAGAAGGCGCGAGCCGACCUGGCCCAGGCACAUGCCAUGGUCUCCGUGGCCCAGGUAUCCGCCGCGGUUGCCGCCGUCACCGCGGCCACCAGCCGGGACAAUCAAGACUCCAAGAUAGCUGCAGCCAUGGCGUCGGCCACCAAGCUGCUGGCUUCGCACUGCGCUGAGGCGGCCCAGCUUGCAGGGGCUGGUCAUGAGCAGGUGUCCUCUGCUGUCCGCUCUGCGGUUGGUGUCACGGGCCCGGGUGAUCUGAUGACGCUCACAGCGGCCGCAGCGACAGCUUUGAGAGGAACUGCGACGCUGAAGAAGAGGGUCCAGCGCGAGGCCAGAAGCAAUGCAAGCGUCAGUCCUUAUGAGAAGGCCCCUCUGUCCUGGAGUCCUGAUAUCUGGUGCAAGGAAGGCAAGCUACUAAAACGAACAAGAAAAGGGGAUUUACACAAGAGACGGGUAUCAAUCUACAUCAACAAGAGGUCACAGGUCAUAUUGAAGCUGAAGAGCAAACACAUUGGAGGUGCACUAUCAAAAAACAAUAAAAGUGUGGUUUAUGGGGUAUACAGUGAGCUCCCAGAGUGGACUGAGCCAGGGAAAUGUUUACCAGAGACAUGCUGCUUUGGCUUGAGUACAGCACAGGGCCUGAUUGAGUUCAAGUGUGAGAGCAGCACCAGUAAACAGAGCUGGGUUCAUGGCGUGCAAAAUCUGCUCCAGCAGGUUGAUGUAGCUGACCAAGUAGGGCACAGGCUAGAAACACUAAAACUCAACUGGUGCAGUUAG
Molecule: ribosomal RNA, 1227 nt
Filed under: Triticum aestivum (bread wheat)
Lineage: Eukaryota; Viridiplantae; Streptophyta; Magnoliopsida; Poales; Poaceae
Description: partial small subunit ribosomal RNA
Source: RNAcentral